RNAcentral lists this long non-coding RNA (1015 nucleotides) under Calidris pygmaea (Spoon-billed sandpiper). Its description in RNAcentral is "lncRNA (ENSCPGG00000000810.1)". Lineage: Eukaryota; Metazoa; Chordata; Aves; Charadriiformes; Scolopacidae. The record is from RNAcentral.
AGAAAAUUAAGUACUUUAGUCAUGGCACAAAUUAAAUGAUUUGAGUGAUGUCCUCUGUAGAAUCGUAGAAUUGUCGAGGUUGGAGGGAUCUUUAAGAUCAUCUAGUCCAACCAUCAACCUAACUCUGAUAAAAACUAUCACUAAACCAUGUCACUAAGCACUAUGUCAACCCGUCUUUUAAAUUAACGCAGUAAAUAGCAAAUAAAGAGGACACAAUAAUGGGCUGAAAGCUGGGGAAGGGGGAACUGUCAGUGUGCUUUAUCAAGCUGCAUUUUACUAUGUAUCAUGCAUGUUUAGAGGAGCAGGAGUAUUUUCAAAAACAACCAAAAUUUUAUCUUUAAAGUACUUACAGGGUCUGAAAGUCAUCUGAUGUGGGUUUUGCUAUUCUGUAGAUCCUAGCUUUGAAGCUAUGAGAAAAAAAAUAUUACUUUCCCAGUAAUUUCAGGGUCUAAUUAGCAUACAUGAAAUAAUCUGCCACUUCCUCUUAGAGAACUUCUGCUUUGCUGUAGCACUUCAGCCUCACUUCAUACCUGAUUUGGUAUUAAAUAGAUAAUACUGAUUGAUUAAAUGUGAUACAGAUUUGAAGUUAGCAUUGUGAAUUAUGCUUUCAUUUUAAAGUAUUUUUUUAUCUUAAUUUUAUGCCUUGCAGUUAGGCGCUCCUGGGCAAAGAACUGAUCAGAUGUUGGAAACAAUCCUAGGCUUGGCAUGAAACCUACAUGCCAAUGCCUACAUGGCACCAGAACUUCCUGAGGACUCGAUUCUGUUUGAUGGCUUUGAUGCCCGUAAACAUAUUGACAUGUGGGCAUUUGUUCUUGUUCUACGGGCAAUAACAAGAGGAACAUUCAGUAAAGGAGUUUAAAGAAAAAGCUGAAGCAGCGCUAGGACUUGAUGUUAUUCUGACAGCUUCUGAAGGAUUCGGAAUGUACCAGAAGGUUGGGAUAGUGAUUCAUUUAAGGAAGGACAAAGGAAAGAGGUAAGAAAUUACAUACCAGUCAAUUUUGUUUUGAUUGUUUGA